AGAGUUUGAUCCUGGCUCAGAUUGAACGCUGGCGGCAGGCCUAACACAUGCAAGUCGAGCGGUAGCACAGAGAGCUUGCUCUCGGGUGACGAGCGGCGGACGGGUGAGUAAUGUCUGGGAAACUGCCUGAUGGAGGGGGAUAACUACUGGAAACGGUAGCUAAUACCGCAUAACGUCGCAAGACCAAAGUGGGGGACCUUCGGGCCUCAUGCCAUCAGAUGUGCCCAGAUGGGAUUAGCUAGUAGGUGGGGUAACGGCUCACCUAGGCGACGAUCCCUAGCUGGUCUGAGAGGAUGACCAGCCACACUGGAACUGAGACACGGUCCAGACUCCUACGGGAGGCAGCAGUGGGGAAUAUUGCACAAUGGGCGCAAGCCUGAUGCAGCCAUGCCGCGUGUGUGAAGAAGGCCUUCGGGUUGUAAAGCACUUUCAGCGGGGAGGAAGGCGGUGAGGUUAAUAACCUCACCGAUUGACGUUACCCGCAGAAGAAGCACCGGCUAACUCCGUGCCAGCAGCCGCGGUAAUACGGAGGGUGCAAGCGUUAAUCGGAAUUACUGGGCGUAAAGCGCACGCAGGCGGUCUGUCAAGUCGGAUGUGAAAUCCCCGGGCUCAACCUGGGAACUGCAUUCGAAACUGGCAGGCUAGAGUCUUGUAGAGGGGGGUAGAAUUCCAGGUGUAGCGGUGAAAUGCGUAGAGAUCUGGAGGAAUACCGGUGGCGAAGGCGGCCCCCUGGACAAAGACUGACGCUCAGGUGCGAAAGCGUGGGGAGCAAACAGGAUUAGAUACCCUGGUAGUCCACGCUGUAAACGAUGUCGAUUUGGAGGUUGUGCCCUUGAGGCGUGGCUUCCGGAGCUAACGCGUUAAAUCGACCGCCUGGGGAGUACGGCCGCAAGGUUAAAACUCAAAUGAAUUGACGGGGGCCCGCACAAGCGGUGGAGCAUGUGGUUUAAUUCGAUGCAACGCGAAGAACCUUACCUGGUCUUGACAUCCACUGAACUUAGCAGAGAUGCUUUGGUGCCUUCGGGAACUGUGAGACAGGUGCUGCAUGGCUGUCGUCAGCUCGUGUUGUGAAAUGUUGGGUUAAGUCCCGCAACGAGCGCAACCCUUAUCCUUUGUUGCCAGCGGUUAGGCCGGGAACUCAAAGGAGACUGCCAGUGAUAAACUGGAGGAAGGUGGGGAUGACGUCAAGUCAUCAUGGCCCUUACGACCAGGGCUACACACGUGCUACAAUGGCAUAUACAAAGAGAAGCGACCUCGCGAGAGCAAGCGGACCUCAUAAAGUAUGUCGUAGUCCGGAUUGGAGUCUGCAACUCGACUCCAUGAAGUCGGAAUCGCUAGUAAUCGUAGAUCAGAAUGCUACGGUGAAUACGUUCCCGGGCCUUGUACACACCGCCCGUCACACCAUGGGAGUGGGUUGCA
Molecule: ribosomal RNA, 1419 nt
Filed under: uncultured bacterium
Lineage: Bacteria
Description: 16S ribosomal RNA
Rfam family: Bacterial small subunit ribosomal RNA
Source: RNAcentral